RNAcentral lists this ribosomal RNA (401 nucleotides) under uncultured bacterium. RNAcentral's name for it is "bacterial SSU rRNA". It matches the Rfam family "Bacterial small subunit ribosomal RNA", at positions 356 to 773 of the family's 1533-position model. The record is from RNAcentral.
AGGGAAUUUUCCACAAUGGACGAAAGUCUGAUGGAGCAACGCCGCGUGCAGGAUGAAUGCCUUCGGGUUGUAAACUGCUUUUAUCUGUGACGAAUAUGACGGUAGCAGAUGAAUAAGGAUCGGCUAACUCCGUGCCAGCAGCCGCGGUCAUACGGAGGAUCCAAGCGUUAUCCGGAAUUACUGGGCGUAAAGAGUUGCGUAGGUGGCAGAGUAUGUCUGUAGUGAAAGCGUGUGGCUCAACCAUAUACACAUUACAGAAACUGCUCAGCUAGAGGGCGAGAGAGGUUACUAGAAUUCCUAGUGUAGGAGUGAAAUCCGUAGAUAUUAGGAGGAAUACCGAUGGCGUAGGCAGGUAACUGGCUCGUCCCUGACACUAAGGCACGAAAGCGUGGGGAGCAAAC